GACGAACGCUGGCGGCGUGCUUAACACAUGCAAGUCGAACGGAGUGCCCCUGAAAGAGUUUUCGGACAAUGGAUGGGAACACUUAGUGGCGGACUGGUGAGUAACGCGUGAGGAACCUGCCUUCCAGAGGGGGACAACAGUUGGAAACGACUGCUAAUACCGCAUGAUACAUUUGAAUCGCAUGGUUUGAAUGUCAAAGAUUUAUCGCUGGAAGAUGGCCUCGCGUCUGAUUAGCUAGUUGGUGAGGUAACGGCCCACCAAGGCGACGAUCAGUAGCCGGACUGAGAGGUUGGCCGGCCACAUUGGGACUGAGAUACGGCCCAG
Molecule: ribosomal RNA, 324 nt
Filed under: uncultured bacterium
Lineage: Bacteria
Description: bacterial SSU rRNA
Rfam family: Bacterial small subunit ribosomal RNA
Source: RNAcentral